RNAcentral lists this ribosomal RNA (20 nucleotides) under Leohumicola lenta. RNAcentral's name for it is "partial 28S ribosomal RNA". The record is from RNAcentral. Lineage: Eukaryota; Fungi; Ascomycota; Leotiomycetes.
GGUUGACCUCGGAUCGGGUA